CCUACGGGAGACUGCAGUGAGGAAUAUUGGUCAAUGGACGAGAGUCUGAACCAGCCAAGUCGCGUGAAGGAUGACUGCCCUAUGGGUUGUAAACUUCUUUUAUAUGGGAAUAAAACGUUCCACGUGUGGGAUUUUGUAUGUACCAUAUGAAUAAGGAUCGGCUAACUCCGUGCCAGCAGCCGCGGUAAUACGGAGGAUCCGAGCGUUAUCCGGAUUUAUUGGGUUUAAAGGGUGCGUAGGUGGAUUGUUAAGUCAGUUGUGAAAGUUUGCGGCUCAACCGUAAAAUUGCAGUUGAAACUGGCAGUCUUGAGUACAGUAGAGGUGGGCGGAAUUCGUGGUGUAGCGGUGAAAUGCUUAGAUAUCACGAAGAACUCCGAUUGCGAAGGCAGUUCACUGGACUGAAACUGACACUGAGGCUCGAAAGUGUGUGUAUCAAACAGGAUUAGAUACCCUGGUAGUC
RNAcentral lists this ribosomal RNA (460 nucleotides) under uncultured bacterium. RNAcentral's name for it is "partial 16S ribosomal RNA". It matches the Rfam family "Bacterial small subunit ribosomal RNA", at positions 338 to 795 of the family's 1533-position model. The record is from RNAcentral.